GACGAACGCUGGCGGCGUGCUUAACACAUGCAAGUCGAACGGAAAGGCCCUGCUUUUGUGGGGUGCUCGAGUGGCGAACGGGUGAGUAACACGUGAGUAACCUGCCCUUGACUUUGGGAUAACUUCAGGAAACUGGGGCUAAUACCGGAUAGGAGCUCCUGCUGCAUGGUGGGGGUUGGAAAGUUUCGGCGGUUGGGGAUGGACUCGCGGCUUAUCAGCUUGUUGGUGGGGUAGUGGCUUACCAAGGCUUUGACGGGUAGCCGGCCUGAGAGGGUGACCGGCCACAUAGGGACUGGGAUACGGCCCAGACUCCUACGGGAGGCAGCAGUGGGGAAUAUUGCACAAUGGGCGGAAGCCUGAUGCAGCAACGCCGCGUGCGGGAGGACGGCCUUCGGGUGGUAAACCGCUUUCGCCUGUGACGAAGCGUGAGUGACGGUAAUGGGUAAAGAAGCACCGGCUAACUACGU
This 467-nucleotide ribosomal RNA is filed under the name uncultured bacterium. RNAcentral describes it as "partial 16S ribosomal RNA". It matches the Rfam family "Bacterial small subunit ribosomal RNA", at positions 28 to 506 of the family's 1533-position model. The record is from RNAcentral.